Molecule: non-coding RNA, 385 nt
Organism: Coturnix japonica (Japanese quail)
Lineage: Eukaryota; Metazoa; Chordata; Aves; Galliformes; Phasianidae
Source: RefSeq, a predicted model, not a curated record
UUCCUAGUUGGAGCAAGAGAGACAAAGAGAUCUGAUUUUGCAGAGCAGAAGUAUCACUGUGAAGCUGGGAAAUUCAACCUGCUGUUAGAUGAAAGCUCUCUCUCAUAAAGGUUAUGUGCUCUUUGAUCACAAAGAGAUGAUGCUUCUAAGCAUGGGGACCUCUGACUACAUCAGAAGGAAGCACAGCAACAGCAUUUCUUAGAAGGGCAUGGAUAAAACGAUUGAACUGCAGAGCAGUAAAACAUCAGUACUGAAGAAAGAGCAAGCAGAGAUUGAGGAAGUGAAGAUGGAAAUGCAGAUAUGCCCAGCUGCAGGAUCUCAGAGACACAUUCUAAGCAGGAACGCUGUGCUGUCCGGCAGGGAAAUGGUGGCGUGUGGAUUUGAG